This is a long non-coding RNA of Paramisgurnus dabryanus, 1960 nucleotides long. RefSeq lists it as uncharacterized. The record is from RefSeq and is a predicted model, not a curated record. NCBI's taxonomy places the organism in Eukaryota, Metazoa, Chordata, Actinopteri, Cypriniformes, Cobitidae.
CAGUGCAUUCUAGUUAGCUGAGAUUUGGCACGUCCCAGCCUCCGUACAUCCCUUGAGGACCAUACUUGUCAAAGGUUUCAAUACACGCUGAGCUCUUUGCGAACUUCAUCUGUUUCCAUCGCUGUGAUUUCUUCCCGACAGCGUUGCGUUAGGGCUGGAUGACGUCACGGACUGUAUCUGACUGUACGCAGCGCGUGCCGGGGAGCGCGUGCUCCGAGCACAUGGAAAAGGGCUCGAGACGAAGUGCCCGAAGAAUAACUCCACACCGGAAUAUAACAAUAACAACUUUGAUGUAAAGCAAACCGGACCUUCACAACAGCUGCCAGUCAGCCUGCCGUUCUCUCGGAUGCCUGAAACCGGAGCCACAAACGAAUCACGCCAAACUUUUAAGGAGAAGACCUACAUGCUUUGCCCCCCGUGAGCCAACAGCUCCUUGUCAUCAAAGUCAAUGAUGCUGCAUUGCUGUGAGAAGAUGAGGACCUGCUGUUGGCUGCAGACAGCUGGCUUUUACACGGUGGGCGUAAAAAUGUGUAAAAGGGGGUGAAUGAGCAGAGAGCCGAUGAAUGAGACCUUCCUCAUCAUUGAUGGUGCACCAUUACACUCGCCUGCCACCGAUUGGAUGGGACAGAGAGGCGCGCAUUCCUGUCGUAUCGCCUUACAGCAAGGGGAAUUUGCCGAAAGACGAUUCGGCGAACAGCUUGCUGCGAAUGGCUGACUCUUAUGUUUCACAGAACGGUUUCAUGCUGGAUCAAUGCAGCCCGCCACACACGCACGCAUGCAUUCAUGCACACAUACGUCGCUUAGUCCUCUGCGUGUCUUUCACAAAAGCCCCUGCUAUGAGGGUUUAUGGAAUGAGAGAAGGUUAAAAAAACUUUACCUCCUGUGCAUUCGGUUACAUAGUGUGCUUUAUACAGCCUGGCCCGAUGUUGACCUGACAAAACUGGUCUCGGUCUGUAAAACCACAGAUAACGGAAAUGCACAAUGAGAAAAGUAUAUACAUUCUUAAAAAAAACUAUGAAUAUUAUAUUUUUCUUGAGGUCGUGUUAACAUGGAAUGUGCAAACAGGAUCCAUCAGCAUCCAUCCAGAAACACUUGGGUUUCAUUCCAGAGUAACACUUAAUAGAUCAAGUACUCUGACAUGUCACAUGAAUGGGAAUGUGCCUUCAACAGCAUUAUGGAAUCGCUAUUUUUAUUCCGGAUCAUGACGGAGGAAGUGUUUAAUACGUGUGCCUUUAACUCGAUGUUGAUAAUAAUAAUAAUAAUAAUAAAUGAGUGCAUUGUAAAGUUGAGAUGUUGCAGGCCAAAUUUAAACCUCCUUUAAUUACAUCAGCACCAUGGCCCAACAUAUCUAGCCCCUCACCAAUGUUUAACCCGAGAAAAGACUGCAAUGAUCUCACUUAAGUUGUGUCUCCUCCCGAGCUUCAAAAGUCAAUGUCAACACGCUUCAACCAAAACAUAAUAUUCAAACAUUACUCAUUAUAUUCCUUAAUGACAAAAUAAUCUGAGCUAUACUAUCAACCAAUUUUAUAGCCUUAUAUUCAUACUGUAUGUCAACCAUUGUCUGUAUAAGAAACAUCUGAAACUAGGUUGAUAAUUCAAAGAAACAUUAGAGCAAAACUCCAUUAAGUCUUGUAAUAAAAAAACUAUAAAGAUUUCCUCCGUAAAAAUGAGCUUGUUUGCUCUUAUACAUAAUCAAAUUGCUUAAAUGAUAUCUUUGUGUUUAUCCUGUAUUAUCUACAUGAAUGCUAUCUAUUAAAUAUCUAUCUCCUAAUCUGUCUAUCUACAAAGUCACAUCUGUCAGUAUUUGAAUGACCCCAUUGACUUCAGUGCAUUCUCAGUGUCUGCCCCCUAUAGAAUCAGGGUAUAGGUUAGAGAUAGUGUGUGCAUGUGUGUGCGUGUGAAUGUGUCAAGCUGGUCCUUUCUGAAAGAGCCUCUCCCCUUCUUACACAUUCCUGCCAAA